CGGGUCGCUCCCGAUGGCAGGAAUCGUGUGUUUCACCGGGAGGUGAAUAAAGUUGGGGAGAACCGCGGGGCGGGCACUGUUUUGUUGAUGCGAUUUUAGCUUUGAAGUUUAGAAAGGAACACGAACGUACUGAAAACCACACGCGAGUCGCUGAUCAUCCGUCAGUUCAAGUCCUUCUCUUGCCAGUGCAACUCAGCCUCGGGCUGGAGCCUGAAGGAUGCAGUGAUUACAGGAUUUCAGAUGCCAACACUUCUACUUUAAGCUUUCACAGGAAGAAACAUAAAUUUAAAGCAACAGAUAGACAAGACUGUGAGCCGCACAGACAAAAUUUCUAUUCCCAAGAAUGGUUCAUAUCUGACAAGAGAGGACCCUACAAAAAGGAAAGGGUAGACCAUGACAAUGCCACAAUCCACA
Molecule: long non-coding RNA, 414 nt
Organism: Gymnogyps californianus (California condor)
Lineage: Eukaryota; Metazoa; Chordata; Aves; Accipitriformes; Cathartidae
Exons: 3
Source: RefSeq, a predicted model, not a curated record